Seriola aureovittata is the source of this 1492-nucleotide long non-coding RNA. RefSeq lists it as uncharacterized. The record is from RefSeq and is a predicted model, not a curated record. The transcript has 3 exons. Lineage: Eukaryota; Metazoa; Chordata; Actinopteri; Carangiformes; Carangidae.
GUUUUUAUGAUACAAUCAGCAAAUGCACAUUUUAGUGAAGUGCUAUAAAAUGAAAAUCAGUAUACAUACAUGGCACAAGCACUGAGUGCAUAAGACACAGUUGGAUUUUAUCUUAUGUUCACUUCAUUUCAAGCUUUGCCAUUCACAGUUUUCAUCGUGUUUCCCUCCCCUUCCACUCAUUUCCUUCUCUGUGCUUUUUUUUUAAUGGAUGCUGACAUGUCCUGUCAAAUCUGAGAGGGUGGAGACAGACGGCAGAGGAGGUGAGAUUAGGAGAGAAAAUGGAGCAGCAGGGAUGGAUGGGUGAGGAGGAGAGAGGAGGAAAGGGAGGAGAGAGGGAGGAUGUAAGGACAUCUUUAGGGAGGGGAGGAACGAAAGAGGUGGAGGUGAGAUCGGGAUGGGGUGGAUGAAGGAGACGAAGAGAGAGAAAUAUUUAGGUAAAGAUAAGAAAAAAAACCAUCAUCCCACAACAGGCAACUUAGUUUAGCAUUCAACACGUGUCGCGAGGAAGUGAUGAGGAGAGAGAGAGAGAUGGAGGGAGGGAGGGAGGAAGAGAGAGAGAGUGCGCGAGAGAGAGAGAGGUAGAGAGACGUUGCUAGGUGACGGAGCGUACAUACUGAAUUUUAACAAACUAACGGGGAGAGGAGAGAGUGAGUGAGGGGGACAGAGAGGUAGCCGAGCAGUCAGCAACAUGUAGCCUCGCCGAGUGGAGGAAAGGUCGAAACUGUGUGUGCGAGUGAACCUCUGCUUUUUGUUGUUGUUGUUGUUGGGAGGAGGAGGAGGAGGGGUGUGUGUGUGAUAUGUUUUCGUUUCAUCCCGAGGAGGACAUUACCCCGCAACAUUAGAAUCGAUCAGGCUCUAUGCCGCAGGAAAUGUCCAGCGGAGGGAUGGACGGAUGGAUUGUGGUGCACGGAGAGAAAACGCGGAGAGCAAAAAGAGAAGAAGAAGAAGAAGAAGAGUGUUGGGCUCCUGAAAACAGGCAGCCUGGAUGCUACAGUGACUCGGUAUCGGAAAGCGGCUAGCUGGUUAGCAUGCUAACAUCAGUGCAAGAAGAGAAGCAAAACAAGAGGGUUGCUUUCUGCCGCUGGAGACAUUUCUUGCGUCUCCUCUCAUCAGGUGAAGCACUGUGAGCCGCUGACCCUCCCCCCACCUCUCCUCCCUUCCUCCUCCCCCGCAGACGUCACCCACUGUCCCCAAAUCCCUAAACCCUACCUGGUCUUACCUGUCAACCCCCAUCCGACAGCUGCCACUGGCCCUCCCUUUACCCCAUGGUGGCCCCAAGGCCCGCCCUCUCACUGCUAUUGGCUGUCCUGGCCUGCACGGGGCCCGCACGCCCCUCGCCCCCCCUGCUGCUCCGGCCCCGGGAGAGAGAGAGGGACUCGGGUGGUGUCAACAUCGCCGUGGUCCACUCGGGCUCCUCCCUCCUCCCGGAGACGGCGGUGGUGGGAGGCGCGGGGGUCGGCGAGCCAGGGCCAGGGAUGGGGCCCGGUGUGGG